Molecule: ribosomal RNA, 496 nt
Filed under: uncultured bacterium
Lineage: Bacteria
Description: bacterial SSU rRNA
Rfam family: Bacterial small subunit ribosomal RNA
Source: RNAcentral
AUUGAACGCUGGCGGAAUGCUUUACACAUGCAAGUCGAGCGGCAGCGCGGGGCAACCUGGCGGCGAGCGGCGAACGGGUGAGUAAUACAUCGGAACGUGCCCAGACGUGGGGGAUAGCCCGGCGAAAGCCGGAUUAAUACCGCAUACGAUCUACGGAUGAAAGCGGGGGAUCGCAAGACCUCGCGCGUCUGGAGCGGCCGAUGGCAGAUUAGGUAGUUGGUGGGGUAAAGGCUUACCAAGCCUACGAUCUGUAGCUGGUCUGAGAGGACGACCAGCCACACUGGGACUGAGACACGGCCCAGACUCCUACGGGAGGCAGCAGUGGGGAAUUUUGGACAAUGGGCGCAAGCCUGAUCCAGCCAUUCCGCGUGCAGGAUGAAGGCCCUCGGGUUGUAAACUGCUUUUGUACGGAACGAAAAGGCUCUCUCUAAUACAGGGGGCUCAUGACGGUACCGUAAGAAUAAGCACCGGCUAACUACGUGCCAGCAGCCGCGGU